This 73-nucleotide transfer RNA is filed under the name Fibrella aestuarina BUZ 2. Its description in RNAcentral is "tRNA-Pro (TGG) (tRNA-Pro-TGG-1-1)". It matches the Rfam family "tRNA". Rfam says of the family: Transfer RNA (tRNA) molecules are approximately 80 nucleotides in length. Their secondary structure includes four short double-helical elements and three loops (D, anti-codon, and T loops). RNAcentral also lists the same sequence under 1 other name. Lineage: Bacteria; Pseudomonadati; Bacteroidota; Cytophagia; Cytophagales; Spirosomataceae. The record is from Rfam by way of RNAcentral.
CGGGGUGUAGCGCAGCUGGUAGCGUACCUGGUUUGGGACCAGGGGGUCGCAGGUUCGAGCCCUGUCACCCCGA